This 335-nucleotide long non-coding RNA is filed under the name Brassica napus (rape). RNAcentral describes it as "long non-coding RNA (BNAP_LNC017641)". Lineage: Eukaryota; Viridiplantae; Streptophyta; Magnoliopsida; Brassicales; Brassicaceae. The record is from RNAcentral.
CGAAACAUCGUAUGUCUCAAAACCAUGCGCCCAUAGUUGUUGCAACUCGUAUAUUAGUGGUUGAAGAAACACAUCUAGUGAUCUUUUAGGAUGAUCUGGCCCGGGGACGAGAAUUGAGAGAAACAAAAACUCUCGUCGCAUGCACAAGCUCGGCCGUAAGUUGUACGGUGUCACAAUAACUGGCCAUAGAGAAUACUACCUUCCAUGCUUUCCAAAUGGGCUGAAACCAUCAGUAGAUAAUCCAAGAUAAACAUUUCUUCUCUCUUCCGCGAAUUCUGGAUAUGUUGACUGGAAAUGUUUCCAAGCCUUUGCAUCUGAAGGAUGUCUAAUCUCAC